AUGCCAAAAAAGCAGAAAAAGUCACAAGCUGCAAAACAACGCUGGAAGAAGUUCCAUGAGUUUCACAAAGUACCAACAUGUGAACAAACUGAGUGUGAUUCUCCUCAGAGCUCUGCAGAAGACCGUGUGUCUGCAAAGACCAAUGCUGAUGGUGUCAAACAGGCAGGUCGACAUGUUCCUGCACAUGUAAAACAGGUAUCCUAUGCAGAUGCUGUAAAGACUGGAUUGCAGCAUGCAUUUAAUGAACAUCAGGUAAACCAUAGAGACCAACCUGAGGUGUCAAGUGCCCCGCAGGUGGGUUAUGCUGAUAUUGUGAAAAGAGGCCAUCACAGUGAUGUGGCAGGGCCAUCUCAUGCAGAAAGAGUGAACCUUGAAAACCAGCCCUCUGUAACACAUGUCUGUGCAUCUCACAGUCAGGCUCAUCCCAAAUAUGGAGACUCCAGAAACAGUCAGUGCACAUGUAACUCACUCACAUUUCUUGCUUUCCUUCAUGAGAAUGAAAACAUAACUACAGCUGACCUUAAUCUGGUCUUGGAUAAAGGUGAUGUGAUGUACAAAGAGGCCAAGAAAAGAUUCCCCAAGAGUAUUCAUUUGGCAACCGAUGAGCUGCCAGACAAAGUUGAUGCUCGCAGGUCUAUGUAUCAUGUCGACAUGACACAGCCUUCCCGGUAUGGGACAUUUGAAGAACCUCCAGAGGAGGCAGUAGAUACCUUUCUCAGCUUAGAAGCAGGACUGAGCUGCCUGUUGUCAGAUGUGCAGUAUGCCUUACUGAUUAUGAGUGGAUUGUGUAUCGCAGUGUUCAGAUCCACAUCAGGCAAAUAUGGUUUCUUUGAUCCACACUCCAGAACAGCCAGUGGUCUUCCUCUACCACUACAGUCACGUAAUCGUGGUACAGCUGUGAUGCUGAAAUUUACACUCCUCAGUGACAUGAUUAAGAGGCUCCAGGAUUCUUAUGAAGGGAUGGAGAUAUCACCCUCUUGUACCUAUGAACUGAAGCCUGUGCAGUUCUACAGUAUGAGCACAGUCAACCUGAGUGAUACUAUCACAGACACAGUCUGCAGAUCAACAGCUGCCACUGCUGUGGCACCUACUCACUCUGAUACAACUGUUGAUGAAGCAAACUCCUCUACUCCAAGGAGAAACACAACCACUGGUCUGACUGAGAACAUCUUUUGUCAAAUGUCCAUUUGUACGCCACUGGUGAAACAAAAAGAAGUCCACAUGACUAAUUUCACAUCAUAUGAAGAUCAGAAUGAACCUCCUAAUAUACCAACUGAAGAACUAUGCAGUGAAUUAAAUUUCUUUCCAUCAAAUGAUGCUUUUUCAUGUCAAUCAAAUGCUGCAAUAACAAAUGUUGCUGCCUGUGAUCUUUCUGAUAUAGUUUUACAAAACUGA
RNAcentral lists this long non-coding RNA (1395 nucleotides) under Oreochromis niloticus (Nile tilapia). RNAcentral describes it as "lncRNA (ENSONIG00000040918.1)". Lineage: Eukaryota; Metazoa; Chordata; Actinopteri; Cichliformes; Cichlidae. The record is from RNAcentral.